UGAAAAAUGGCCAGGAAUGUAACUGUUGGGGUAUGAUUGUUGCAUGUUUAAAUUUUAAAGGAAACUGCCUAAUUGAUACUGUUCUUGCCAAGCCCUCAAAACCAGAAGCUGUGGCCUCAGAGACAGAGAUCAUCAAAAGAGAAACAAAGGAGGCAGGAAGAAAUGCUACAUUUUCUCCCUCAGGCAACAGAGGGAGGAGGAGCCACCAGAGGAGGUGGUGAAGGCCAAGAGAGCUGGACUUUUUACAGCAGGAGCUUCCUAACCGGGCUGAGGAACUCUGGAAAGCAACAGACCCACAGGCUGGACCACUGGGAAUCAGAACAGGUAAACUAGUGGAGUGCUGGAAGGGCUCUGGAUCUCUUUCCGGCUUGGUAUUCAGUGACAUCAGGCUGGUAACUUAAAAUCAGCUACAGUGAGAGUACUGACAACAUAAAAAUCAGCAAAUGCUGCAAAUCAGGACUCUCUUUUCCAUGGAGAAUCGAUUGUUAAACAUUUACAUGAGACAAACCAUAUAAACCUUCCAGGGAAUAAUCCAGGAACCAUCAGAAUCCUGGCAGAAAUUCAAAGUUAUACAAACACCCUCCCCAAUGGCUUCUCCUCACUGACCCCACCCACCACAGUGCCGGAGGACUCCCACCAAGCCCACCUCCCCAAGCCCUGCU
RNAcentral lists this long non-coding RNA (662 nucleotides) under Callithrix jacchus (white-tufted-ear marmoset). RNAcentral describes it as "lncRNA (ENSCJAG00000087086.1)". The record is from RNAcentral. Lineage: Eukaryota; Metazoa; Chordata; Mammalia; Primates; Cebidae.